UACGUAGGGGGCGAGCGUUGUCCGAAUUCACUGGGCGUAAAGCGCGCGUAGGCGGGCAAUUAAGUUGGUGGUGAAAUCCCGGGGCUCAACCUCGGAACUGCCUCCAAAACUGGUAGCCUUGAGUUAUGGAGAGGGAAGUGGAAUUCCAGGUGUAGCGGUGAAAUGCGUAGAUAUCUGGAGGAACACCUGUGGCGAAGGCGGCAUCCUGGACCGGCAUUGACGCUGAGGCGCGAAAGCCAGGGGAGCAAAC
RNAcentral lists this ribosomal RNA (250 nucleotides) under uncultured bacterium. RNAcentral describes it as "partial 16S ribosomal RNA". It matches the Rfam family "Bacterial small subunit ribosomal RNA", at positions 524 to 773 of the family's 1533-position model. The record is from RNAcentral.